UGCUUGAGAGUGGCGAACGGGUGAGUAAUAUAUCGGAACGUGCCCAGUCGUGGGGGAUAACGUAGAGAAAUUUACGCUAAUACCGCAUACGAUCUAAGGAUGAAAGCGGGGGAUUUCGCAAGAAGCCUCGCGCGAUUGGAGCGGCUGAUAUCAGAUUAGGUUGUUGGUGAGGUAAAAGCUCACCAAGCCGACGAUCUGUAGCUGGUUUGAGAGAACGACCAGCCACACUGGGACUGAGACACGGCCCAGACUCCUACGGGAGGCAGCAGUGGGGAAUUUUGGACAAUGGGCGAAAGCCUGAUCCAGCAAUGCCGCGUGCAGGAAGAAGGCCUCCGGGUUGUAAACUGCUUUUGUACGGAACGAAACGGUCUGCUCUAAUACAGUGGGCUAAUGACGGUACCGUAAGAAUAAGCGCCGGCUAACUACGUGCCAGCAGCCGCGGUAAUACGUAGGGUGCGAGCGUUAAUCGGAAUUACUGGGCGUAAAGCGUGCGCAGGCGGUUAUAUAAGACAGUUGUGAAAUCCCCGGGCUCGACCUGGGAAUUGCAUCUGUGACUGUAUAGCUAGAGUACGGUAGAGGGGGAUGGAAUUCCGCGUGUAGCAGUGAAAUGCGUAGAUAUGCGGAGGAACACCGAUGGCGAAGGCAAUCCCCUGGACCUGUACUGACGCUCAUGCAC
This 676-nucleotide ribosomal RNA is filed under the name uncultured bacterium. RNAcentral describes it as "bacterial SSU rRNA". It matches the Rfam family "Bacterial small subunit ribosomal RNA", at positions 86 to 754 of the family's 1533-position model. The record is from RNAcentral.